UCGGCUCUUCCUAUCAUUGUG
This 21-nucleotide non-coding RNA is filed under the name Arabidopsis thaliana (thale cress). RNAcentral also lists the same sequence under 1 other name. The record is from RNAcentral. Lineage: Eukaryota; Viridiplantae; Streptophyta; Magnoliopsida; Brassicales; Brassicaceae.